AUCGCUAAUACAGUUAGACUCCAUUGCUGAGUAAAAAGAAAAGAAAAUGUCAUUGGUGUUGAUUUUAAAAUAUUUAAUAGUCUUCCUUUAAAAUCCAAAAUAAUGUGAUUCUUACAAGUUAUGUGCCACAUAAAGCGGGUGUUAUUUUUUGAGAAAUGCAGGUGAUACUGAAAAACAUAGCACUGAGGUAUUUUUUAUUUUUAAAAUUGAGUAAGGAAACAAAGUCUGGAUCUAAUUAUUUUUACAUUUACAAAAAAAAAAAAAAAAAAACGAAAAACAAAACAAAACCAACCGAUGCUACUGCUUGGCUCUUUUGUUAUGAUUUUAGGUUCGGAAUACAUUACAAAAGUCUACGGGAAAGAGCAAUAUAAUAACAGUACAUGUAGUUUUAGAAAACUAUGCACAUCAUAACCUGGAGAAAUGAUCAUACACCAAGAGGCCUGAGUGGAGGUAGGCUAAUAAAACACGUUACCUCUUCUCAAAGGACAGCGCUGAAAAACAAGUGCAACCAAUUGUAACACCAAAUUGAAAUGGCAAUAUUAAGUUGGUAACAAAAUGAUCCACGUUUUAUGUAAUAUUGUACUUCCAAACACAGCUCAUGAAAAUCAGCAGAGAACCUAAGAUAGCACCAUUGAAACCAUUCAUUAUCCCUUUGUGCUUCGGUACAAUUUAGGAUUGGGGCAGAAAACAAUACCUACAAGAUGUCCAUCUCGUUUUUAUAAAUCAGUUUGGAUUUCAAUUCAAUGUUUGCUUUAGGAAAAGUACGUAUUCUUAAGAUCAGUUAGCCAUGUACAUACAGCUCUGCCUUUUUGGAAGUUAAGACAAUGGGCUACAUCUAAUUUUUAUCUAACACCAAGAACCAAGCAGUAAGGACAGCAAUGUCAAGAGUAGCACAACCAAGAACCACACAGAACAUUAGAAAGAAUUUGGUGUAUGUUUUUACAGCUACUAACUGAUGUUAACAGUUAAAAAUUUACAAAGAUAAAACUUUUUUGCACUAACUGGUUUCAACACAGCACUGAAUGUGACUCAUCUUUGGGCUUCCAUCUCUACAGAGAGUAAAUGUGCAAGUGCCAUACUGAGGCUCUUCCCCAACUUACGCCAUAGUAAAACAGAUUCCAAAAUAAUUCUAGAAUGGUCUAAAGUUACAGCUGUUCUAGCUGACACGGGGGGGGGGGGGGGGAAGACAUUUCCUGGCCAACUUUGUUUUGCUUGAUGAUUGUCUAGGUACAUAAUACAUCAAUCUAAGGAUAAUAGAGCUUUCUCUACUAACUCUUUAGUACUGGCACAACCAUUGCCAGCAGUGAAUUUGCACCAGUACAGAAUAACUCAAAACACACAUAAAACAUUUGAAUGUCAUUUUUUAAGCGAUGUCACAGUUUGUUUCCUCAGAAAUGAAAGCAUACAUUUGAAACACAUUUUCAUUUUAAGCCUCAGAGUUAAACAUGUUCUACAUCAUUAAAUCCAACUUGUGGCUGACGUGCUUUGGUUAUCAUUCUCUGAGGGGUCCCGAAAGCUAGAUGGUACACGCCGCUGGAGGCCUGUGGGACUCAAGAGCUCCUCGGAGAGCCCUAGAAUGGAGAAUUCUGUUCCGAUGUAUACUAGCUAAGAAGUAUCCUCCAACUUGUAGGCUUCAAAUGUCCCAACACUACUUGAGUGGCUAGUACUGUGUAUGAAGGCUUUGUUUUUGUAGAGCCAAGCAACAGUACCCCAAAGACAGCAAACAGUUUUUGUAGGAGAGUACAGUGCACAUACAUUGUUCCACCUGUAUUUAAGGACUUGAAAUGGGUUUUACUAUGGACAUGAUAGUGACAGCCAUUCGAAGAUGCCGAUCUUCUUACUAACAUUUCCCCAAAUGGGCAGAACAGAGGCAAUGUGUGCCACUGGUUCUGUCCUACUGGCCUUUGGCUGCAUUGGGGAAGUAAUCCUAUAAAAAGUACCCACAAAAUAGAAAAGGCAGCAAGUGAAACUAGAAAAAAGGUUGGAGCUAUACAAAGCAGAUUUGGAAGGAGUUACCUUUAUUUUUUCUUAAAUGAGUUGAGAACAGGAGGGAAGUGCCAGGGCAUCCUGCUUUGGGCCCUCCACUGCCGUCCUGAAGUAAAACAGAUUUGGAUUGGCCCAGGGACCGUCCUGGUGAGGGCUGGAGACUGCGCCCCCAGAUAGAGGAGCCAGUUCUUUUAAGUAGAAGAUUACGAAGCAGAACAAAACAAACCACAAAUUAAAUACAUGACACUGUGAAAUCACUCUGAUGAGAAAACAACACAGAUAUUUAAAAAUAUAAAUAAAUACAUUUAGCCAUUUUCAUUCAACAAACCCAGAGAACUGCUUUCAAAGCAAUUGCCUCUUUAAAAUCACAUUCUAAAUUCUUCCAUAAAUACUCACUACUUUGAUUGUCACUGAAUGCAGCACCUCAGUGUUUGCUGGUGGUGGUGAUGGGAUUCCACUUCAACAGUCUCUUCAUAAACUAUAUCCUACUUCACUAAACGUUUCCCUAGGAAGACCCAGGCAGCUUACAAAAAUAUUGUUAAAUACUCAAAGCAGAACCUGCAAAGUAUUAUUUUAUUUAAGAAAAACAAGGAAUGUAGUGUUAAAUUAUGACAAGGGGGAAAAUAUGCAAAACAGUCACAUGGAAACAAAGUUUUAAUUUUUAAAUGUCCACAUUUGCUGAAUUUCUUGUGAGCUGUUCAAUACUGUGUUAAAUAUCCUGAAUUAAUAACUAUACCAACAAAAUUCAUCCCCUGUGUUUCCACAGGAGACAUAUUUAAAAUAAGACCAAAUUAUACUUUUCUUCAACUGAAGUUGUCUUUUUCUCAGUCCUUUUUGUGCAAAAGAGAUUAUAAGAGCAGUUCAAAUGGAAACGCUGAAAUGACAUGCCAACAUUUCAGAGCACAUUUAAAACACCCAGAAGAAUUCUUGAAAUUAUCAUAUUCUAAAAUAUUACUACCAGUCACUUUUAGGUUAGUUCUAUACAUCUAUUCACACUGAUGCAACUGUCCUAGGCCUCUGAAAAUAAACAGGCUCAUUGGUCUCUUUUGGUGUCCACACACUAGGCAAGACAGGUUUACAAUAGUGUCGAAACGGAACUAGCCAUCUACAAUCUCCUGACUCCGCCACAUUCAGAACCAAAGUCAAAGUUCACUUGGCUACCUUGAAAUCACUCCCAGAAACCUGCUACGGUUCACUGGAUCUAAACAUUUCUCAGAAAUGUAUCAUUUUAAAAUUUCACCUAAGUGAUGAUUUGGGGAUCCUUUAGAAAUGGUAAUGCUUAAGAUAAUAAACUUUAUCAAAAUGAAUAGUUGCAAUAAAGUGCUUGUUACAUUUCAAAAUGAUGCUUUCAGACUGUGGUUAUGUUGUUUUCGAAGUGUGUGCUAUUCCUACAGAAAGGAUCCCCAGGCAUGAGAGUUGGGUGGUCUCACCUGUCUCAGAAAGCAGCAGCGCUAUCUUUUGGUAGGCUGACGAUAGGCACGUUACCCAUGCGGAUGAGGCUAUACUAGUGCUAUGGCAAAAGGGGGAGUAAAUUAGAAAAGUGGAGGCAUGUGGAGGGUUCCUACCAUAUUCAUAGUUAUAUACAAAUAUAUUAAAUAUGCUAUAAAAAUAGUCGACUCUUUUCCUUUGCAUUUAUUUCAGAAGCUCCUUUUAGAGGAAUGCUCACCCAACCCAAACAAACUUAAAAGGGUCUCUCUCUCCAAUCGCUAAUUAAAAUGGCAAGUGCCUUUGUGCUGUUCCUUUUCCACCAUUUGAAAAUUCCAAUCUGCUCACUCCUGGCUAGACUCACUCAGCAAUAGUAAUAUCCAGUGUUUAUACCUUCCAACACUGACUCCCAAGGGACUAGGAAUAGGAUCACAGAUAUUGGAAAGGUUGGUUAUAGACUUGAAUGAGUUUCCCACAAAUGUCCAUCAUCAACAAACUCAAUCACCAAAGAAAUAGAGAAAAAGAAAAAAAGGAGAAACGAGCAAUACCAAAGUAAAAUGCUAUUUGCAUUCCACUUUAAAAAAAGGAAAAGGUUUACCUCACUGUAGUGGAAACAUUAGAAAUCAAGUUGAAUAAUAUCCAGCUGAAAAUAAUUUUCACCACUGUGGAGCCGGAGAAAGAGUACUAUUUCGAGGGGCCCCUUUCUAAGGCCUCUUGAACAAAGGUUCAUCUCCCUUCACUGCAAUGCCCUGCAUGGAGCUGCACUGCUUCAGUGCCCUUAACUAACUGCAAGCAGACCGCUUUAAGGCAAUGACCAAAGACUCUUAGCACUUCUGAAGAAUGCAAAUAACAUUUUCACUCUUCUGCACUAAGUAUUCUGUAACCACCUAUUCAAAGUCACUGGCAUAUUUUAUUACUAGUACAUUCCUAAACCAGAUGUAAGUAACAAA
Molecule: long non-coding RNA, 4361 nt
Organism: Neofelis nebulosa (Clouded leopard)
Lineage: Eukaryota; Metazoa; Chordata; Mammalia; Carnivora; Felidae
Exons: 2
Source: RefSeq, a predicted model, not a curated record